RNAcentral lists this long non-coding RNA (793 nucleotides) under Marmota monax (woodchuck). The record is from RNAcentral. Lineage: Eukaryota; Metazoa; Chordata; Mammalia; Rodentia; Sciuridae.
GGGGGGCUUCCUGAGGUGAUGACAUGAAAGCAGGGACCUGAAGGAGGUGAGGACAGAAAGUGCAAAGGCCCUGAGGCAGAAGUGAGCUUGGCUUCUUGAGCAGCAGCUGCCAGGUGGGUUGGCCCUGGUGCUGUAAUGCCAGCUUCACCACACUCCCACGGCUGAGCCACGUCUGCCAGGUGUCUUCCUCUGAAGGGCCCUUCCAAAUGAGGGGUGAUCCCUUGAGACUGCAUACGUGUGGACUUAAUCCCCACAGCAACUUAUGGCAGCUUAAAAUCAUGUCUGUAAAUCUUUGACAUGCUAGCCAAGGGUGAGGACGCACACCUGUAAUCCCAGUUUCGGGAGGCUGAGGCAGGAGGAUCACAAGUUCAAGGACAGCGUGGGAAACUUAGCAAGUCCCUGUCUCAAAAAAUAAAAAAUAAAAAGUACAGGGUGGAGCUCGGUGGUAGAGUGCUCCGGAGGGUCAACCCCCAGUACUGAAGGGGGGACUUUGUCAUCCUAUCUAUCAAGAGAAUCGGGGGCCUGCUAGGGCUGGGAUGUAGCUCGGUUAGUAGAGGGCUUGCCUCACAUGCACACGGCCCUGGGUUCAAUCCUCAGAAACACACACACACACACACAAAAGAAUUGGGGUCUGCCAUCCCCUCUUCUUGAAUCUGAGCUCUGUGCUUGGCUAAUAGAGUGUGUCACAAGUGUCUGUGCCUUUUUUCUGGCUGUGAGGAAUUGGUGGCUUGCACUUUCUGUCUCUCUUGGGACAUGGACUCUUGAAAUCCAGCCACCAUGCCGUGAAGAAGCC